This 870-nucleotide long non-coding RNA is filed under the name Arabidopsis lyrata. RNAcentral's name for it is "long non-coding RNA (ALYR_LNC000236)". Lineage: Eukaryota; Viridiplantae; Streptophyta; Magnoliopsida; Brassicales; Brassicaceae. The record is from RNAcentral.
CGAGAUCUAGUCAUAUUUUACUCUAAAAACGCUAACCAAGCUUCUUAUUGCUUCUCAAAGCUUUGUGGGUGUGGCCAAAGUCCUAUGAGUUUUCAGUUUUGGAGCUUCUAAACAAAGAAACACUACUUUAGCUUGUGGGAUCCGGUGGCGGUUCUAAUUCUUAUACCAAAUCAUACACACGAGAUCUAGUCAUAUUUGACUCUAAAAACGCUAACCAAGCUUCUUAUUGGUCUCAAAGCUUUGUGGGUGUGGCCAAAGUCCUAUGAGUUUUCAGUUUUGGAGCUUCUAAACAGAGAAACACUACUUUAGCUUGUGGGAUGCGGUGGCGGUUCUAGUUCUUAUAUCAAAUCAUACACACGAGAUCUCGUCAUAUUUGACUCUAAAAACGCUAACCAAGCUUCUUAUUGCUUCUUAAAGCUUUGCGGGUGUGGCUAAACUCCUAUGAGUUUUCAGUUUUGGAGCUUCUAAACGAAGAAACACUACUUAGCUUGUGGGAUCCGGUGGCGGUUUUAGUUCUUAUAUCAAAUCAUACACACGAGAUCUCGUCAUAUUGGACUCUAAUAACGCUAACCAAGCUUCUUAUUGCUUCUUAAAGCUUUGCGGGUGUGGCUAAACUCCUAUGAGUUUUCAGUUUUGGAGCUUCUAAACGAAGAAACACUACUUUAGCUUGUGGGAUCCGGUGGCAGUUCUAGUUCUUAUACCAAAUCAUACACACGAGAUCUAGUCAUAUUUGACUCUAAAAACGCUAACCAAGCUUCUUAUUGCUUCUCAAAGCUUUGUGGGUGUGGCCAAAGUCCUAUGAGUUUUCAGUUUUGGAGCUUCUAAACAAAGAAACACUACUUUAGCUUGUGGGAUCCGGUGGCGGUUCUA